This 174-nucleotide ribosomal RNA is filed under the name uncultured Candida. RNAcentral describes it as "partial 26S ribosomal RNA". It matches the Rfam family "Eukaryotic large subunit ribosomal RNA", at positions 104 to 274 of the family's 3401-position model. The record is from RNAcentral. Lineage: Eukaryota; Fungi; Ascomycota; Saccharomycetes; Saccharomycetales.
GAGCGCAAAGCUCAAAUUUGAAAUCUGGCUCUUCAGCGUUCGAGUUGUAAUUUGAAGAUGGUUUCUUUGGGGUGGCUCUUGUCUAUGUUCCUUGGAAAGGACGUCAUAGAGGGUGAAAAUCCCGUCCGAUGACUGCCCAUUCCUCUUAAGGGGUCCUCCAAAAAGCGAGUUGUU